GACGAACGCUGGCGGCGUGCUUAACACAUGCAAGUCGAGCGGUAAGGCCCUUUCGGGGGUACACGAGCGGCGAACGGGUGAGUAACACGUGGGUGACCUGCCCUCAGCUCUGGGAUAAGCCUGGGAAACCGGGUCUAAUACUGGAUAUGACUCCAUGACGCAUGUUGUGGGGUGGAAAGCCUUGUGCGGCUGAGGAUGGGCCCGCGGCCUAUCAGCUUGUUGGUGGGGUGANGGCCUACCAAGGCGACGACGGGUAGCCGGCCUGAGAGGGCGACCGGCCACACUGGGACUGAGACACGGCCCAGACUCUACGGGAGGCAGCAGUGGGGAAUCUUGCGCAAUGGGCGAAAAGCCUGACGCAGCGACGCCGCGUGAGGGAUGACGGCCU
Molecule: ribosomal RNA, 388 nt
Filed under: uncultured bacterium
Lineage: Bacteria
Description: bacterial SSU rRNA
Rfam family: Bacterial small subunit ribosomal RNA
Source: RNAcentral